AUCUGGAGGAAUACCGGUGGCGAAGGCGGCCCCCUGGACGAAGACUGACGCUCAGGUGCGAAAGCGUGGGGAGCAAACAGGAUUAGAUACCCUGGUAGUCCACGCUGUAAACGAUGUCGAUUUGGAGGUUGUGCCCUUGAGGCGUGGCUUCCGGAGCUAACGCGUUAAAUCGACCGCCUGGGGAGUACGGCCGCAAGGUUAAAACUCAAAUGAAUUGACGGGGGCCCGCACAAGCGGUGGAGCAUGUGGUUUAAUUCGAUGCAACGCGAAGAACCUUACCUACUCUUGACAUCCAGAGAACUUAGCAGAGAUGCUUUGGUGCCUUCGGGAACUCUGAGACAGGUGCUGCAUGGCUGUCGUCAGCUCGUGUUGUGAAAUGUUGGGUUAAGUCCCGCAACGAGCGCAACCCUUAUCCUUUGUUGCCAGCGGUUCGGCCGGGAACUCAAAGGAGACUGCCAGUGAUAAACUGGAGGAAGGCGGGGAUGACGUCAAGUCAUCAUGGCCCUUACGAGUAGGGCUACACACGUGCUACAAUGGCGUAUACAAAGAGAAGCGACCUCGCGAGAGCAAGCGGACCUCAUAAAGUACGUCGUAGUCCGGAUUGGAGUCUGCAACUCGACUCCAUGAAGUCGGAAUCGCUAGUAAUCGUAAAUCAGAAUGUUACGGUGAAUACGUUCCCGGGCCUUGUACACACCGCCCGUCACACCAUGGGAGUGGGUUGCAAAAGAAGUCAAUAGCUUAACCUUCGGGAGGGCGUUGACCACUUUGUGAUUCAUGACUGGGGUGAAGUCGUAACAAGGUAACCGUAAAUCGAAUUC
RNAcentral lists this ribosomal RNA (818 nucleotides) under uncultured Serratia sp. RNAcentral's name for it is "bacterial SSU rRNA". It matches the Rfam family "Bacterial small subunit ribosomal RNA", at positions 696 to 1513 of the family's 1533-position model. The record is from RNAcentral. Lineage: Bacteria; Pseudomonadati; Pseudomonadota; Gammaproteobacteria; Enterobacterales; Yersiniaceae.